GGUCGACACCAUGUAAUUUCUAUCAGGGAUCACCCAGUCACACAACAAUGACGGUCGUCAUUAAAAAGAGUUACUCGCUAGCUAGUGUUGACAGUCGUUAGCUAGUCACGCCCAUAAAUUAGGACUCGGAGCGCGACAGUUAACUUGUCAUCAAGGUGACGGCCUUCAUCGCUCCCAUACUGCAAUUUUCGCAGAAACAACGACAAAUCCAAAACAAUUCCAAAAUUUGUUAAGUU
RNAcentral lists this long non-coding RNA (236 nucleotides) under Lathyrus oleraceus (garden pea). RNAcentral describes it as "Pisum sativum (pea) long non-coding RNA (PSAT_LNC031558)". Lineage: Eukaryota; Viridiplantae; Streptophyta; Magnoliopsida; Fabales; Fabaceae. The record is from RNAcentral.